Molecule: ribosomal RNA, 253 nt
Filed under: uncultured bacterium
Lineage: Bacteria
Description: partial 16S ribosomal RNA
Rfam family: Bacterial small subunit ribosomal RNA
Source: RNAcentral
UACGGGGGGGGCAAGCGUUGUUCGGAAUUACUGGGCGUAAAGAGCUCGUAGGCGGUUUGUCGCGUCUGCCGUGAAAGUCCGGGGCUCAACUCCGGAUCUGCGGUGGGUACGGGCAGACUAGAGUGAUGUAGGGGAGACUGGAAUUCCUGGUGCAGCGGUGAAAUGCGCAGAUAUCAGGAGGAACACCGAUGGCGAAGGCAGGUCUCUGGGCAUUAACUGACGCUGAGGAGCGAAAGCAUGGGGAGCGAACAGG